RNAcentral lists this ribosomal RNA (442 nucleotides) under uncultured bacterium. RNAcentral describes it as "partial 16S ribosomal RNA". It matches the Rfam family "Bacterial small subunit ribosomal RNA", at positions 338 to 795 of the family's 1533-position model. The record is from RNAcentral.
ACUACGGGUGGCAGCAGUGGGGAAUAUUGGGCAAUGGGCGAAAGCCUGACCCAGCAACGCCGCGUGAAGGAAGAAGGCUUUCGGGUUGUAAACUUCUUUUGACAGGGAAGAGCAGAAGACGGUACCUGUCGAAUAAGCCACGGCUAACUACGUGCCAGCAGCCGCGGUAAUACGGAGGUGGCAAGCGUUGUCCGGAUUUACUGGGGGUAAAGGGCGUGUAGCCGGGCUGACAAGUCAGAUGUGAAAUCCGGGGGCUCAACCCCCGAACUGCAUGUGAAACUGUUGGUCUUGAGUAUCGGAGAGGCAGGCGGAAUUCCUAGUGUAGCGGUGAAAUGCGUAGAUAUUAGGAGGAACACCAGUGGCGAAGGCGGCCUGCUGGACGACAACUGACGGUGAGGCGCAAAAGCGUGGGGAGCAAACAGGAUUAGAUACCCGGGUAGUC